This 1012-nucleotide long non-coding RNA is filed under the name Bos taurus (domestic cattle). Its description in RNAcentral is "long non-coding RNA NONBTAT000624". Lineage: Eukaryota; Metazoa; Chordata; Mammalia; Artiodactyla; Bovidae. The record is from RNAcentral.
AGUGCUUUCAAUACACAUUUAUUUCAAAACCACAGCACAGUAACUAUAAUGUCAACAUAACCAUAUUUCCACACUGAGCAGGAAAUCACCAUUCUCGUGUGCAUCUCCCAAGAAGUGGGGGCUGGCUCAGAGGCUCCGUACUGUGAGUAAUGACUAGAACCCCCAUUCUGAACUAGGAGUUCUAAACCAUUAAACAUUUAAUUACCACUCUGGCAAAGCAAUGCACAUUACCAUUUCUAAAAUGUAGCAGCACAGAGAUUUUAAAUGCAUCUUUAUUUUUCAGAGUCUUCAGUAUUCACAAUGUGUAAAAUGAAGCAGAGUUUUAAAUAAAAUGCUAUGCCAAAACACAGUUCCUUAAAAAGACCCGAUGGAGAGGAAGGAAAAUCGCAUAUGAAUAAUAUUUAUCAGUGCUUACAGUUGACAUUAACUAUAGUUUGAAAAGAAUAAAAAUACUCAAGACUUCAACAUUCCCUUACAAAAGUAUACUUGGCAAUAAAAUAAAAAUCUAUAAAACCCCAAAUAUUACAAAAGUAAAAUGCAAAAAAAAUCUUUUUAUUAAAAUGUAACAUAUUUACAUGGUAAGAAUUAUUUUAAACUGCACAGAACACUCAGAAGUUGCGAUGAGUGUCAGAGGGGAAUUUAUCACACACACUCAAUGUUUGGACAGUUGUAUAGGCCCACCAGGUCAAAGAGCCAGGUCAGCAGAUACACACAUCCCCUGGCAUGACAGUUCAGUGAGGGCAGAUUUUAAGCCUCCUCCCUGCAACCUAUUUUUGCUGGAGAAGGCAAUGGCACCCCACUCCAAAACUCUUUGUUUUGGGUGUUUAGUCUUUGUUCUCUGUUGAAACUUAAAUUCCUUUUAGAAAGGAAAUGCACAAGGUCUUAUGAGAACUGUAUCUUGGUGUGCUUUUAUUUGUUAAGUCUUAUUUUCGGAGGAAGGUAAAGGUGCCAACAAUCCUCUCAACCUUCUAAAGGAAUAGUAACCCACUCGCCAGACAGGGAUGAUGAGAAG